This 397-nucleotide ribosomal RNA is filed under the name uncultured bacterium. RNAcentral describes it as "partial 16S ribosomal RNA". It matches the Rfam family "Bacterial small subunit ribosomal RNA", at positions 523 to 918 of the family's 1533-position model. The record is from RNAcentral.
AUACGUAGGUGGCGAGCGUUGUCCGGAUUUACUGGGUGUAAAGGGCGCGUAGGCGGGAUAGCAAGUCAGGUGUGAAAUCUAUGGGCUCAACCCAUAAACUGCACUUGAAACUGUUGUUCUUGAGUGUCGGCGCGGUAGAUGGAAUUCCUAGUGUAGCGGUGAAAUGUGUAGAUAUUAGGAGAAACACCAGUGGCGAAGGCGAGCUGAUGGACGAGACCAGACGCUGGGGCGGGAAAGCGUGGGGAGCAACGAGGAGUAGAUGCCCGGGGAGUCCACGCCGUAAACGAUGAAUACUAGGUGUGGGUGGGACUGAGCCCAUCCGUGCCGCAGCUAACGCAAUAAGUAUUCCACCUGGGGAGUACGUUCGCAAGAAGGAAACUCAAAUGAAUUGACGGGG